AGGAACUUAGGAUAUAUUAAACCAAGGGCCUUCAAAGCCCAUAAAAAGAGCCAUGACCUCUUAGCUCCUG
RNAcentral lists this transfer RNA (70 nucleotides) under Calumma parsonii. RNAcentral describes it as "tRNA-Trp". Lineage: Eukaryota; Metazoa; Chordata; Lepidosauria; Squamata; Chamaeleonidae. The record is from RNAcentral.